RNAcentral lists this ribosomal RNA (200 nucleotides) under uncultured bacterium. Its description in RNAcentral is "partial 16S ribosomal RNA". It matches the Rfam family "Bacterial small subunit ribosomal RNA", at positions 8 to 214 of the family's 1533-position model. The record is from RNAcentral.
AGAGUUUGAUCAUGGCUCAGAGCGAACGCUGGCGGCGUGCUUAACACAUGCAAGUCGAACGGGUGUAGCAAUACACUCGUGGCGAACGGGUGCGUAACACGUGGAUAACCUUCCUUCAGGUGGGGAAUAACCCAGUGAAAAUUGGGCUAAUACCGCAUAACAAAACGAGGGCACAUGCUUUUGUCUUCAAAGCCGCAAGG